GGCCCGUUGGUCAAGCGGUUAAGACACCGCCCUUUCACGGCGGCAACACGGGUUCGAAUCCCGUACGGGUCA
This 72-nucleotide transfer RNA is filed under the name Listeria monocytogenes. Its description in RNAcentral is "tRNA-Glu". It matches the Rfam family "tRNA". Rfam says of the family: Transfer RNA (tRNA) molecules are approximately 80 nucleotides in length. Their secondary structure includes four short double-helical elements and three loops (D, anti-codon, and T loops). Further hydrogen bonds mediate the characteristic L-shaped molecular structure. tRNAs have two regions of fundamental functional importance: the anti-codon, which is responsible for specific mRNA codon recognition, and the 3' end, to which the tRNAs corresponding amino acid is attached (by aminoacyl-tRNA synthetases). tRNAs cope with the degeneracy of the genetic code in two manners: having more than one tRNA (with a specific anti-codon) for a particular amino acid; and 'wobble' base-pairing, i.e. permitting non-standard base-pairing at the 3rd anti-codon position. Lineage: Bacteria; Bacillati; Bacillota; Bacilli; Caryophanales; Listeriaceae. The record is from RNAcentral.